Molecule: ribosomal RNA, 433 nt
Filed under: uncultured bacterium
Lineage: Bacteria
Description: partial 16S ribosomal RNA
Rfam family: Bacterial small subunit ribosomal RNA
Source: RNAcentral
AACGAACGCUGGCGGCAUGCCUAACACAUGCAAGUCGAACGAGACCUUCGGGUCUAGUGGCGCACGGGUGCGUAACGCGCGGGAAUCUGUCCUUAGGUUCGGAAUAACUCUCCGAAUGGGGUGCUAACACCGGAUAAUGUCUUCGGACCAAAGAUUGGUCGCCCUUUGAUGGGUUCGCGUUGGAUCGGCUAGUUGGUAGGGUAAAAGCCUACUAACGCGACGAUCUAUAGCUGGUCAGAGAGGAUGAUCAGCCACACUGGGACUGGGACACGACCCAGAGUCCUACGAAACGGAGGAGUGGGGAAUAUUGGACGACGGACGAGUGCAUGAUCCAGCAAUGCCGCGUGGGUGAUGAAGACCUUAGGGUUAUAGCGCUAUUUUCUCCUGGAUGUUAAUGACAGUACCGGAAGAAUAAGCCCCGGCUAAAUCCGUG